GACGAACGCUGGCGGCGUGCUUAACACAUGCAAGUCGAACGGAAAGGCCCUGCUUUUGUGGGGUGCCCGAGUGGCGAACGGGUGAGUAACACGUGAGUAACCUGCCCUUGACUUUGGGAUAACUUCAGGCAACUGGGGCUACUACCGGAUAGGAGCUCCUGCUGCAUGGUGGGGGUCGGACAGCUUCGGCGGUUGGGGAUGGACUUAGGGUUUAUUAGCUUGUUGGUGGGGUAGAGGCUUACCAAGGCGUCGGUCCGUAGCUGGUCUGAGAGGAUGAUCAGUCACACUGGAACUGAGAGACGGUCGAGGCUGCGACGGGAGGCAGCAGUGGGGAAUAUUGGACAAUGGGCGACAGCCUGAUCCAGCCAUGGCGCGUGUGUGAAGAAGGUCUUCGGAUUGUAAAGCACUUUAAGUUGGGAGGAAGGGCAGUAAGUUAAUACCUUGCUGUUUUGACGUUACCAACAGAAUAAGCACCGGCUAACUUCGUG
RNAcentral lists this ribosomal RNA (488 nucleotides) under uncultured bacterium. RNAcentral describes it as "partial 16S ribosomal RNA". It matches the Rfam family "Bacterial small subunit ribosomal RNA", at positions 28 to 507 of the family's 1533-position model. The record is from RNAcentral.